Molecule: ribosomal RNA, 472 nt
Filed under: uncultured bacterium
Lineage: Bacteria
Description: bacterial SSU rRNA
Rfam family: Bacterial small subunit ribosomal RNA
Source: RNAcentral
CGCUAUCACUCCUACGGGAGGCAGCAGUAGGGAAUCUUCACAAUGGGCGCAAGCCUGAUGGAGCAACACCGCGUGAGUGAAGAAGGGUUUCGGCUCGUAAAGCUCUGUUGUUAAAGAAGAACACGUAUGAGAGUAACUGUUCAUACGUUGACGGUAUUUAACCAGAAAGUCACGGCUAACUACGUGCCAGCAGCCGCGGUAAUACGUAGGUGGCAAGCGUUAUCCGGAUUUAUUGGGCGUAAAGAGAGUGCAGGCGGUUUUCUAAGUCUGAUGUGAAAGCCUUCGGCUUAACCGGAGAAGUGCAUCGGAAACUGGAUAACUUGAGUGCAGAAGAGGGUAGUGGAACUCCAUGUGUAGCGGUGGAAUGCGUAGAUAUAUGGAAGAACACCAGUGGCGAAGGCGGCUACCUGGUCUGCAACUGACGCUGAGACUCGAAAGCAUGGGUAGCGAACAGGAUUAGAUACCCUGGUAG